UCGUCUGCUCCUGCCGCUUUCUGUGCACGUGUACGCCUUUUAGUAUGCUUCGCAGUUAAACAUUUCACUUCUGUGCCCGCGAACCUUGCGGUAAUGUUGGAAAAACUGAGAAAAGGACACAAGGCGUGCUGCGUGCGCUGUGCGGUGUGGCAGUUCGGGGGGCAACGCAAGGACGCAAUUUUUCCGUUUUCCCCGUGGACGAGAGGCCCUCACCGGGUUUAGUGACCGUGGGAGCUGCGGCCUGGCUGGUCAUACGGUCUGGUCUAUUCACCCAUUUCUGGCCGAAUAGACCAACCAAUCACAGCGGAGUACGCGCCCGCCACUGGGUUCCUUGCACCACCACCAGAUGGAGCUCGCCUUAAAGAGAUACGUGGGGUCAAUUCAACAGGAGAAAACCAUCUCUGCCUGGCCUCACUGCCAUAACUGCCAAUCCCAAGAUCAUCCCGUGACUAGCCACGAGCCCGCCUGUACGUCACGGCCUACGUCAUCACUGUACCACAGUGCCAUCUCUACAUAAACCCGACGCAAGCACUGGGCCGCUUCACUUGGCAGCGGCUAGAGCAGCGGGACAGCACGGCUUACGCUGUGUCUCCUCUCCUAUGCAUCGCAGGUUAGGCACUAUGUGCGACUGAAGUAUUCACGUUGCUUAUUUGAUGCUGUCGCUACUGCCAAAUUAUU
This is a long non-coding RNA of Dermacentor albipictus, 678 nucleotides long. RefSeq lists it as uncharacterized. Lineage: Eukaryota; Metazoa; Arthropoda; Arachnida; Ixodida; Ixodidae. The record is from RefSeq and is a predicted model, not a curated record.